GACGAACGCUGGCGGCGUGCCUAAUACAUGCAAGUCGAACGCAGUGGGGACGGGUGAGUAACACGUGGGUAACCUCCCAUCAGAGGGGAUAACACUUGGAAACAGGUGCUAAACCGAUACUGAUGGAUGGACCCGCGGGGCAUUAGCUAGUGGGUGAGGUAACGGCCCACCAAGGCCACGAUGCAUAGCCGACCUGGGAGGAGGACCGGCCAAACUGGGACAGAGUCACGGCCCAGACUCCUACGGGAGGCAGCAGUAGGGAAUCUUCGGCAAUGGACGAAAGUCUGACCGAGCAACGACGCGUGAGUGAAGAAGGUUUUCGGAUCGUAAAGCUCUGUUGUUAGAGAAGCGGUAUCUAACCAGAAAGCCACGGCUAACUACGUGCCAGCAGCCGCGGUAAUAC
Molecule: ribosomal RNA, 403 nt
Filed under: uncultured bacterium
Lineage: Bacteria
Description: partial 16S ribosomal RNA
Rfam family: Bacterial small subunit ribosomal RNA
Source: RNAcentral